ACAGCAGUAGCCGCGGGAAUACGGAGGGUGCAAGCGUUAAUCGGAAUUACUGGGCGUAAAGCGCACGCAGGCGGUUUGUUAAGUCAGAUGUGAAAUCCCCGAGCUUAACUUGGGAACUGCAUUUGAAACUGGCAAGCUAGAGUCUUGUAGAGGGGGGUAGAAUUCCAGGUGCAGCGGUGAAAUGCGUAGAGACCUGGAGGAAUACCGGUGGCGAAGGCGGCCCCCUGGACAAAGACUGACGCUCAGGUGCGAAAGCGUGGGGAGCAAACAGGUUUAGAUACCCCUGUAGUCCCUGUCUCUUAUAC
This 305-nucleotide ribosomal RNA is filed under the name uncultured bacterium. Its description in RNAcentral is "partial 16S ribosomal RNA". It matches the Rfam family "Bacterial small subunit ribosomal RNA", at positions 508 to 807 of the family's 1533-position model. The record is from RNAcentral.